This 467-nucleotide ribosomal RNA is filed under the name uncultured bacterium. Its description in RNAcentral is "partial 16S ribosomal RNA". It matches the Rfam family "Bacterial small subunit ribosomal RNA", at positions 28 to 506 of the family's 1533-position model. The record is from RNAcentral.
GACGAACGCUGGCGGCGUGCUUAACACAUGCAAGUCGAACGGAAAGGCCCUGCUUUUGUGGGGUGCUCGAGUGGCGAACGGGUGAGUAACACGUGAGUAACCUGCCCUUGACUUUGGGAUAACUUCAGGAAACUGGGGCUAAUACCGGAUAGGAGCUCCUGCUGCAUGGUGGGGGUUGGAAAGUUUCGGCGGUUGGGGAUGGACUCGCGGCUUAUCAGCUUGUUGGUGGGGUAGUGGCUUACCAAGGCUUUGACGGGUAGCCGGCCUGAGAGGGUGACCGGCCACAUUGGGACUGAGAUACGGCCGAGACUCCUACGGGAGGCAGCAGUGGGGAAUAUUGCACAAUGGGCGGAGGCAGGAUGCAGCAGCGCCGCGUGCGGGAUGACGGCCUUCGGGUGGUAAACAGCUUUCGCCUGUGCCGAAGCGUGAGUAACGUUAAUGGAUAAAGAAGCACCGCCUACCUACGU